This 71-nucleotide transfer RNA is filed under the name Nanatka castenea. Its description in RNAcentral is "tRNA-Lys". The record is from RNAcentral. Lineage: Eukaryota; Metazoa; Arthropoda; Insecta; Hemiptera; Cicadellidae.
CAUUAAGAUACUUAAGAGCAAGUAUUGGUCUCUUAAACCAAAUUAUGAUAAAUAGCAACUAUCCUUAAUGA